CGUGUCUCUAGUGCCAGCCGCCGCGGUAAUACAGAGGGUGCAAGCGUUAAUCGGAUUUACUGGGCGUAAAGCGCGCGUAGGCGGCUAAUUAAGUCAAAUGUGAAAUCCCCGAGCUUAACUUGGGAAUUGCAUUCGAUACUGGUUAGCUAGAGUGUGGGAGAGGAUGGUAGAAUUCCAGGUGUAGCGGUGAAAUGCGUAGAGAUCUGGAGGAAUACCGAUGGCGAAGGCAGCCAUCUGGCCUAACACUGACGCUGAGGUGCGAAAGCAUGGGGAGCAAACAGGAUUAGAUACCCUGGUAGUCCAUGCCGUAAACGAUGAGUGUUCGCCCUUGGUCUAUUCUGAUCUGGGGCUCAGCUAACGCGUUAAACACUCCGCCUGGGGAGUACGGUCGCAAGACCGAAACUUAAAUGAAUUGACGGG
This 420-nucleotide ribosomal RNA is filed under the name uncultured bacterium. RNAcentral's name for it is "bacterial SSU rRNA". It matches the Rfam family "Bacterial small subunit ribosomal RNA", at positions 494 to 917 of the family's 1533-position model. The record is from RNAcentral.